CUGCAGCUCUCCUAGACCCCAUUUAACAGCUGACUGCCACUAAGGAAGGUUCUCUUUCUGGAGAUUGCUUCUUGUGGAGUUUGGUGUGAGCCUACAACACCGCCUCUCUGCCUUAGCCUGGUUGAAAUCUUCCAUGCAGCCAGUCCCUAAACAGUGAUGUGAGGCAGGAGCAGCUGCACAGUAAGGAGCUCUUGUGCAUACUCCAUGUCUGCAACGUGAGAACAGUCCAAACUUCUGAGUUUAGAUCUGAUGGAUGAAAUCUUUGUAGAAAGGAGUAUUUUGCUAGCUAAGCCUCAGCUUCAAAAGUGCUUUUCUCUGCCUCUCAGAUUGUUCCUGCUGUUGACCAUAAUAGACUGCUCAUUAGAAAGACCCUGACAGCAAUGGGCACAGAUCUAUUUCUUCUCCUGUGAUGUCUGGCUAGGCUGUUCCAAAAGCAGAUGGAUCUGGGAGAAACAUAAGAGCAAUUCAGUUCUCGUGGUGAGAAGGAAGGCUUGCUGGACAAGUGGCAUUUCUGACCCUCUAUCAGCCACAGCUGGACUGGCUGACGGUGGGGGGAGGCUAAGCAGGUGGGGGGGGCUGCUCCCUCUAGAAACCUUGCACCAAAGCAGGCAGCAGGAAAGAAUGUAGCAAGGUAACUGGUGGCAUUGUUCCCUCUGUGAGGAGGCCCUGCAGAAUGGGCUCAGGUAUUAAGGCUCCCCUUGGCAUCAGGAGAAAGCCCCGUGAAGUGCAGACUCCCAGGGUUUGGCUAAUGGGACUCCUUCCAUCAACCCCUUCAUUGCUUGUGGAGCAGCAGCAUGCUGCUGUGGAGGAAGUCACUUUGGAAAUUCCAUUUAGGACCUGCACUGGAGACAUUGGCUUGCAGAAGUUGAGCUAGUGAGAGGCUGCUCCUGCCAACAGAGCUCCAUGCAGAAACGCAGCUGUGCUGAACAGCUCCCAGUCAAACAAGAGGGAAGCAUCACAUAAACUCCAACCUCUUAUCUCUCGUGCACAUGAGAAAAGUAGCAGUGUGUGAACUUUGCGUUGCAUCGUGUGGAUAUCGUGGACCAAAAGCCUGCAGAACUGAAGGUGCUGAUUGUGCAGGGCUGCAGCUGUGAGGGGCACACAUGUUGGUCAUGCCAGCAGGCUUCUGCCUGCUGCUUUGUUCCCCUAGUCCCCUGCUGCUCCAGGACUUGCUGAGAUGGAUGUAAGCCACUGACACGUUUCCAUGGGUACCUGUUUGCAAUGCUGCUCUUGGGUAGCUUUGUCUCUCCCAAAGUCUGAAGCUUUGCAGUAGCUGUUGCGAAGGGUUUGUGCUGUUACUGCCCACAGCAGGGCAGGCGAGGUGUGCUGCUCGCUGCUCCUUUCCAUUCAGGGAAGUGCUGACAUGGCACAGCAGGUGCCGUGUGAAGAAAUCCGAGCUUCUGCCAGCUGCCCACUGAGCUCUGCAGCGGUUUGUGCCUUCUGAGAGGUUCAUUUAACUCAGAAGCAGUACUGCGUCUGCACUUACGCUGCUUCUGGUAUCUAGGCUGGUUUCUGAGAGUACCUACCUAGAGCAUUCACACUCCUGCUGCGGUGCGAUGCCUCUCCCUAGGUCAGUGCGAUGCCUGAGCCUGAACACCUAGAAGUAUGAAAAGCACUUGUCUUUGAGGAAAAAUAAUUGCUAUUUUCAUCCAGACAGGAUCUGCAGGAGCCAUUGCUGAGCCAGGCUGCCUGGAGCCCUGCGUAUCAAGCAGACACUGCCCUCAGGACAGGACGUUUGCUGCUCUCUGAGGGCAAACACCAGAGAGGCAACUGUGGGGAGACUCCUGCAAACCCACCUGCAGCUCCUCGCAGCCAGGCUGCUCGCAGCCACACCAUCCCCACUGCUGCAGGGAUUUUUUUCCAUGUGCAGUAACACAACUUCUCUGAGAGACUGCUUUUGCCUUUGGUUGUAGCCGGUGCCCAGAAGAGUUGCUCCAGGCUGUUUGGUGCUCAGCCAUCCCUUUCAUCCAUCAGUGCCCGCAUUUUUGUCUCUGAAUUUGGACUUAGAGCUCCUUGAAAGAAAAUAGGAAGGUUAUUUCAUAUGUGGAGGAAUUUAUUAAGCCUGGACCUGGAUCUCAUUCUUAUGCAAUGCAAAUGAGUAAUAACAAGCCUUCUUCAUUACCAGCUGAGCACUUGGGCCAUGGCUAUUAAAUCCUCGCCUCCCUUCAGUCUGUUUCUAUCAGACUGCCACAUUAAGCUGCAUCCUCAUCGGAAUUCAUAAAGCCAGCCCAGACUUGUGUUGGGAUCUAAGCCUGCAAAAUUAAAACUCGAGUAGCAGAACACAAUAUUUCUUUGGCUGUUGAGAGGAGCAAGCUGGGAUAUUUUGGGGCAUGGUGUACUGAAUGAGGCGUGACAUCACCUUGAUUACUUGUGAUAAUGAAAAAUUUCACAACAGCCAUAUGGCAAGGAAAAAGAAUAAGGGUCCAUUUAUCUCACUGCUCUGGUUUGGUUACAUAACACUGUCAUAAUGGGCAGAACCACCCUGGCUUUUGUAGUCCAUGAGUGAUUUCCAUCGCACAGCCCUGACUGCAUGCCCUGGAGGUGGCUGCAGAGGAGCUCCCAGAUGUGUGCAGUAUCCACCACCAUGCCUGGGAGAUGCCUGGAAGAACAGCACUGCAUCCAGACCUUUGCAUGUGAGAGACCAGUGUUGAAUCUUUGAAAAUCUUUUAGCUAGUUGGAGUUCUGCUGUAACUCUCAGCCACCGAGCAGAACUUUAAAAGUAUUAAUGACCUUUCCUUGCAUAAAAUGAGAAAAGCAGGGAACUGCCUAAGAGUGCAGCGGUGAUUCCAACCUCUUUUUUAUAUGGGAAUCCCUUUCUACUAGGGCCCUCAGCCCUCAGCUCAGGCUUUCCAUCAGCAGAUUUGUUCCAAAACACAGCUUCUCCCUCAAGCAAGCUGACUGCAUCCCUCGCGCAGGAGCCCUGGCUGCUCCAGCCAGGCAGCGCUGGCACCAGAUGGCAGAGCCCCAGAGCUCCGUGCCCCAGUCACAGAAUCACAGAAUGGCCUCAAUUGAAAAGGUCCACAGUGAUCAUCUAGUUUCAACCCCCCUGCUGUGUGCAGGCAGUCCUGCUGCCCCAAUGAGACCCCAAGCGGGAAAAGGCUUCUGGUCUCUUCCCCUUAAACUGUCCUGCUUUUUGUGGGGAGAACAAGUACUUGGUAAAUCAAUGAAAGGAAAAGGCCCCGUGGCUCUCUGUUGUAGGAACUAACUCAUUUGUUUGGGAGUACUGAGUGUCAAUGAUGGUUAUGGAUUUUAUACCAUACUCCCCCUUGAGUGAUUUCAUUCCUCGGAGACUCGCUAUUCAAGUUAAUUUGAGUUUCAAUUCAGAAUUGUGAGACUUUGGAAUUUAGAUUCAUUUCAUACGUGAAUGAGUAGCUAUCCCAGACUCAAUCAUUUCUGGAUAUUCAAGGCAGGGAGGGAUUUAAACUUUUAUCAUGUAUUCCAGAAAGAGAACCUACUUCUUCCCAAUCUGGGAUGGUGACUCCAGUCGCUAAAAUGGGGUAAAUGGGUCGGACAGGGUAGUCGCUGCUCUGGCUUCUGUGAGCUCUAAAAAUACCAGCUGAGUCAAGUCCCAGAGGUGAGAAAAGAGGAACACCUUAUGUGUGAAUUUGGAUGGAAUUUUGCGUAGGCUGAGCACCAACUGUUCAGCCUGUUGUGGAUCCUGCUCUGCUGGUCUGCAGUGACAUCUGAGUGAAAAAAUGAUCUCUGGGGGAGCUCCUCAGAGAUUUGGUGAAAGAAAGGGGGAAGCAAAAGGCUGUGAGCUGCCUUUUCUUUGCAGGUGAAAACUAUCAGCACUCUUCCUGGAGCACUUCCACAAACUGUAAUUAUGCUUUUGUGUAUCAAAGGAGAAGCAUGUUUGUACUGACCUGGUGUCUGGGGAGAUGAGAUAUUCCAUCUUGGGAAAUUGGCACCCUGGGGCUGGCUGCCUGCACACAGCUAUUGCAGGGUGCAGAUUCCCCUUGCAGUGUGGUCACAGUAAUCUGACAGUAUUCAGCCAAGGCAAUGGCAGUCUUUUCUGCUUUUAUUGCCUUUUGGUCAGGCUCUGGCUGGUCAAAUGGUGCUAACGCUAGUAGGACAGAUUUUACAGACCUCAGCCUGUAAUUUCAGCACUAUUGCAUUACCUUUAAAAGAAACAAAAACUAUCCCAGCGAGACACAGAUUAUUCAGAUAGAGGGUAAUAGAAUGGAAUCAUAGAAUUGCUCAGGUUGGAAAAGCCCUUAAAGAUCAUUAAGUCCAACCACAAUGUAACCAUUCUACCCGAACUCUAACAACCCUCUGCUAAAUCAUGUCCCUGAGCACCACAUCCAAACUGAAGUCUAAAUUGGUACUACCUGCACCUCCUGCUGUUUCUGGACUCCUGUGCAACCUUUCACUGACAUCGCUGAUGGUGCAGCAGAGCAUCUCUGCCACGGUGAGGUCCUCACCAGGACAUGGGCAGGGGCUGGGAGGUUAUACAACCUGGAAUUACGCAGUGGCUAGUAAAUUAUGGCAUGCGACGUGGCUGAGCUAUCUUCCCGCACCUUAACAGCCCGAAAGAAACCGAUUUGAAGAAACGGGCAGCUCGCUUGGAGGUCGGGCCUUUCAGCCGU
Lagopus muta (rock ptarmigan) is the source of this 4586-nucleotide long non-coding RNA. RefSeq lists it as uncharacterized. Lineage: Eukaryota; Metazoa; Chordata; Aves; Galliformes; Phasianidae. The transcript is spliced from 3 exons. The record is from RefSeq and is a predicted model, not a curated record.